AUUGAACGCUGGCGGCAUGCCUUACACAUGCAAGUCGAACGGCAGCAUGGAGAGCUUGCUCUCUGAUGGCGAGUGGCGAACGGGUGAGUAAUGCAUCGGAACGUACCGUGUAAUGGGGGAUAACGUAGCGAAAGUUACGCUAAUACCGAAUACGACCUGAGGGUGAAAGCAGGGGAUCGCAAGACCUUGCGUUAUACGAGCGGCCGAUGUCAGAUUAGCUAGUUGGUGAGGUAAAGGCUCACCAAGGCGACGAUCUGUAGCGGGUCUGAGAGGAUGAUCCGCCACACGGGGACUGAGACACGGCCCAGACUCCUACGGGAGGCAGCAGUGGGGAAUUUUGGACAAUGGGGGCAACCCUGAUCCAGCCAUGCCGCGUGAGUGAAGAAGGCCUUCGGGUUGUAAAGCUCUUUCGGCCGGGAAGAAAUCGCACAGGCUAAUACUCUGUGUGGAUGACGGUACCGGCAUAAGAAGCACCGGCUAACUACGUGCCAGCCGCCGCAGUAA
This 504-nucleotide ribosomal RNA is filed under the name uncultured bacterium. Its description in RNAcentral is "partial 16S ribosomal RNA". It matches the Rfam family "Bacterial small subunit ribosomal RNA", at positions 30 to 523 of the family's 1533-position model. The record is from RNAcentral.